This 648-nucleotide long non-coding RNA is filed under the name Olea europaea (common olive). RNAcentral's name for it is "long non-coding RNA (OEUR_LNC010043)". The record is from RNAcentral. Lineage: Eukaryota; Viridiplantae; Streptophyta; Magnoliopsida; Lamiales; Oleaceae.
UGAUAUGCAGUGUUUUUACACGCAUACUUCUAAAUUUCCAAUCUCAUUAUUAUUAUUACAAAAGAAAGGCCAAUACACAGUCCCAUAAAGAACAAAAAGGCAUCCCCUCCCCUUUCAUAUGGUCCCUUUCUACACUACAUUUAUGAACACAAAAUGUCAUCUAUCUAUCCUCCAGAAACAACCGAAGAACAUAGCGUAAUUGAAAUUGCAAGUUUCCAAACCCUAGCAAGACAUAGACAAUAAUAAAACAAUCAACACGUGUCAAGGAACCAUGCAUCUUAGUCAUCAAGUAUCCCAAGCGAAAAACACUUUGGCUUUUGUUUCUUACUAAUUUGUUUUUUCAAAAGGACAAAUAUUUAUAACCUUAUUAUUGUGUGAUCGACUAAUAUAAUACACGUGGAACGAGGAUGGAUGAUCAUGAAGCAUAUAAGAGAAUUAUAAUACGACGUCGUUUGCCUCAUUUGCUGUUGGUAUCGGAAUCCAAUCGCAUCUUGUGGAUUCUUUGCCUUGAUUCUCUCUCAUCUCUCCUCUGCGCGUAGGCAUCAAAGAAGUCUUUGUUUUCUUUCUCCAACUCCUUCCACACUGCUAACGUUAAUGGCAAAAUUAAAAAAAAAAAAAAAAAAAAAAAAAAAAAAAAAAAAACCCCCC